Molecule: long non-coding RNA, 840 nt
Organism: Astatotilapia calliptera (eastern happy)
Lineage: Eukaryota; Metazoa; Chordata; Actinopteri; Cichliformes; Cichlidae
Source: Ensembl
UUCGGGCGCGGUCGUCAGGGGACAGAUCCUCAGCCAGCUUUAGGUUGUUACCUUUCAGGUAUAGGUGGACUGCUUAGCAGCGCGCCAGACAGCAUCGCGGUAGAUCCUGGAUGUAAACUGAAUGAUGAUUCCCCUGGGUUGGUUGUUGUUGGACCUCUUGGGGCCGAUGCGGUGGACGGUGUGAACGACGUCGGGGAAUUUAUCUUGCAUCUCCGCUUUUUUCAUCUCGGAGAUGGCUAUGGAGUUGUCACUCACCAGUUUUUCAAGAGUGUCCGACCUCGAGUUAAUCAACAUGAUGCACUGUUGAAGUUUCUAAAUCCCACCCCUGGGCCAUCUACCACAUCUACCGCUGCUGCCUCCACUUCAGCAGCACAACCCACCAGAGGAUGCAGCAUCAGCAGCACAACCCAGCCAUGAUGCAGCAGCAUCAAGCGGUCUUCCUGUUGCCUUAUUUAUAUUGUAUUUUUAAUUUAUUUUAUCCAACUUGUUGACACGUUUUAUUGUGUUUAUGUAUGUAAAAUUUAUUGUAUUUCAUAUAUUCAUUUUUUAUUUUUUGUAUUCAUUUAUUUUUUCAUAUAUUUUUUUAUCUUGUUAAUUAUUCUGAUUGUGAAUUUGCUUUCUUUAAGUAAAAAAAAAGGUCAAAGACAAAGCUAUUCGGUUUCUUGUGAGUACAUACACUGCACUGCUGAUGUAGGGGGGCGCCACCUAAAAUCUUGCCUAGGGCGCCAGAUUGGUUAGGGCCGGGCCUGGUGGGCAGUUAAAAUAAAGAGAAUAAAUACUCUCUUUCUUUAUCAUUGGUGUAAAUGUGUUGUUUUUUUCAUCUGGGCUACAAUUUGUAAU